RNAcentral lists this transfer RNA (90 nucleotides) under Candidatus Bathyarchaeota archaeon. RNAcentral's name for it is "tRNA-Ser". It matches the Rfam family "tRNA". From Rfam's summary of the family: Transfer RNA (tRNA) molecules are approximately 80 nucleotides in length. Their secondary structure includes four short double-helical elements and three loops (D, anti-codon, and T loops). RNAcentral also lists the same sequence under 1 other name. Lineage: Archaea; Thermoproteati; Candidatus Bathyarchaeota. The record is from RNAcentral.
GCCGGGAUUCCCGAGCCUGGUACGGGGCAGGCCUGGAGAGCCUGUGGCCUUUUUGAGGCCUCGUGGGUUCAAAUCCCACUCCCGGCGCCA